UACGUAGGGUGCGAGCGUUAAUCGGAAUUACUGGGCGUAAAGCGUGCGUAGGCGGUUCCUCAAGUCCGUUGUGAAAGCCCCGGGCUCAACCUGGGAAUGGCAGUGGAAACUAGGGGACUGGAAUCUGGCAGAGGGGGGUAGAAUUCCACGUGUAGCAGUGAAAUGCGUAGAUAUGUGGAGGAACACCGAUGGCGAAGGCAGCCCCCUGGGUCAAGACUGACGCUCAUGCACGAAAGCGUGGGGAGCAAACAGG
RNAcentral lists this ribosomal RNA (253 nucleotides) under uncultured bacterium. RNAcentral's name for it is "partial 16S ribosomal RNA". It matches the Rfam family "Bacterial small subunit ribosomal RNA", at positions 524 to 776 of the family's 1533-position model. The record is from RNAcentral.